ACUGAAUGGACAAGUAAUAGCGGGUGGGCGAAGUACCCAUGACACGACAGUGAUCUUUAGAUGCGACGAAGGCUUCAUUCUUGAAGGAAAGAGAAAUUCUACGUGUGUUCACGAAGAUCCAAACAGUGCGAAGGGAAAGUGGUCAGAGCCAGUGCCUGUUUGCAGUGGAAUUACCUGUGACCAACCCGUUCUACAGCAUGGUAAAGCAUCCACUGGUUCCUUACAAUAUAAUUCAACAGUAACAUAUAGCUGCGAGGAGAACUAUUCUCUUACUGGGAAGGCAAAGUCCACUUGCGUCCAGGAGAAUAAGACUAGCAUCAAGGGUGUGUGGGCAGAUCCAAUACCAAUUUGCACAGAAAUUGGAUUGGAGUCACCUUCGUCGACAUUGAAUUACGUGCACGGAGACGUGGGAGGAAGAACAAAUACGCGUGAUGAAUCAGUAUCAGCAACGAACAUCGGAAUUGGUAUUGGCUGCGCGACAGUUGUUCUCGUCUUGGUAAUCAUUGGUAUUAUUUUGGCAAUUAAAAACAAAAGAAUGGCGAAGAUGUAAGUGCUCGUGCGAUCACACCCUACAACAAACCUGGAGGCGGGAAAUGCCGGGUCGACUUUUAUAGAAAGUCAAAUGCAAACAAUAAAUGACGUUUCC
Lineus longissimus is the source of this 646-nucleotide long non-coding RNA. RefSeq lists it as uncharacterized. The transcript is spliced from 5 exons. The record is from RefSeq and is a predicted model, not a curated record. NCBI's taxonomy places the organism in Eukaryota, Metazoa, Nemertea, Pilidiophora, Heteronemertea, Lineidae.